UUUCCGUAGGUGAACCUGCGGAAGGAUCAUUAGUGAAUUGAAUAUGUUUGCGGACCUCUUCGUAGUCCCUAGCAUCAAAUCAUAUCCAUAACACCUUUGAGCUGUAAGGCUCUCUUGAUAACGAAAGUGAUUACAGCGUCUGCACAUUUUAUACAAAAAUUAAUAUAAACAACGUAGUCUUAUUAUAAACCAAUAAAACUUUCAACAACGGAUCUCUUGGCUCUC
This 225-nucleotide unclassified non-coding RNA is filed under the name plant metagenome. RNAcentral's name for it is "partial contains small subunit ribosomal RNA, internal transcribed spacer 1, and 5.8S ribosomal RNA". The record is from RNAcentral.